GAUGAACGCUAGCUACAGGCUUAACACAUGCAAGUCGAGGGGCAGCACGGAGAUAGCUUGCUAUCUUGGGUGGCGACCGGCGCACGGGUGAGUAACGCGUAUCCAACCUGCCCAUUACUCUGGGAUAGCCUUGCGAAAGUAAGAUUAAUACCGGAUGUUGUUUAGAGUUCGCAUGAAUUUUAAACCAAAGAUUUAUUGGUAAUGGAUGGGGAUGCGUGACAUUAGGUAGUUGGUGAGGUAACGGCUCACCAAGCCUACGAUGUCUAGGGGUUCUGAGAGGAAGGUCCCCACACUGGAACUGAGACACGGUCCAGACUCCUACGGGAGGCAGCAGUGAGGAAUAUUGGU
Molecule: ribosomal RNA, 348 nt
Filed under: uncultured bacterium
Lineage: Bacteria
Description: bacterial SSU rRNA
Rfam family: Bacterial small subunit ribosomal RNA
Source: RNAcentral